RNAcentral lists this ribosomal RNA (411 nucleotides) under Escherichia coli. Its description in RNAcentral is "bacterial SSU rRNA". It matches the Rfam family "Bacterial small subunit ribosomal RNA", at positions 560 to 970 of the family's 1533-position model. Lineage: Bacteria; Pseudomonadati; Pseudomonadota; Gammaproteobacteria; Enterobacterales; Enterobacteriaceae. The record is from RNAcentral.
GUAAAGCGCACGCAGGCGGUUUGUUAAGUCAGAUGUGAAAUCCCCGGGCUCAACCUGGGAACUGCAUCUGAUACUGGCAAGCUUGAGUCUCGUAGAGGGGGGUAGAAUUCCAGGUGUAGCGGUGAAAUGCGUAGAGAUCUGGAGGAAUACCGGUGGCGAAGGCGGCCCCCUGGACGAAGACUGACGCUCAGGUGCGAAAGCGUGGGGAGCAAACAGGAUUAGAUACCCUGGUAGUCCACGCCGUAAACGAUGUCGACUUGGAGGUUGUGCCCUUGAGGCGUGGCUUCCGGAGCUAACGCGUUAAGUCGACCGCCUGGGGAGUACGGCCGCAAGGUUAAAACUCAAAUGAAUUGACGGGGGCCCGCACAAGCGGUGGAGCAUGUGGUUUAAUUCGAUGCAACGCGAAGAACC